CCUGCCUUUAUCUGGGGGAUAGCCUUUCGAAAGGAAGAUUAAUACCCCAUAAUAUACUGGAUGGCAUCAUUCGGUAUUGAAAACUCCGGUGGAUAGAGAUGGGCACGCGCAAGAUUAGAUAGUUGGUGAGGUAACGGCUCACCAAGUCUGCGAUCUUUAGGGGGCCUGAGAGGGUGAUCCCCCACACUGGUACUGAGACACGGACCAGACUCCUACGGGAGGCAGCAGUGAGGAAUAUUGGACAAUGGGUGAGAGCCUGAUCCAGCCAUCCCGCGUGAAGGACGACGGCCCUAUGGGUUGUAAACUUCUUUUGUAUAGGGAUAAACCUACUCUCGUGAGAGUAGCUGAAGGUACUAUACGAAUAAGCACCGGCUAACUCCGUGCCAGCAGCCGCGGUAAUACGGAGGGUGCAAGCGUUAUCCGGAUUUAUUGGGUUUAAAGGGUCCGUAGGCGGAUUUGUAAGUCAGUGGUGAAAUCUCACAGCUUAACUGUGAAACUGCCAUUGAUACUGCAAGUCUUGAGUGUUGUUGAAGUAGCUGGAAUAAGUAGUGUAGCGGUGAAAUGCAUAGAUAUUACUUAGAACACCAAUUGCGAAGGCAGGUUACUAAGCAACAACUGACGCUGAUGGACGAAAGCGUGGGGAGCGAACAGGAUUAGAUACCCUGGUAGUCCACGCCGUAAACGAUGCUAACUCGUUUUUGGGCUUUCGGGUUCAGAGACUAAGCGAAAGUGAUAAGUUAGCCACCUGGGGAGUACGAACGCAAGUUUGAAACUCAAAGGAAUUGACGGGGGCCCGCACAAGCGGUGGAUUAUGUGGUUUAAUUCGAUGAUACGCGAGGAACCUUACCAAGGCUUAAAUGGGAAAUGACAGGUUUAGAAAUAGACUUUUCUUCGGACAUUUUUCAAGGUGCUGCAUGGUUGUCGUCAGCUCGUGCCGUGAGGUGUUAGGUUAAGUCCUGCAACGAGCGCAACCCCUGUCACUAGUUGCCAUCAUUAAGUUGGGGACUCUAGUGAGACUGCCUACGCAAGUAGAGAGGAAGGUGGGGAUGACGUCAAAUCAUCACGGCCCUUACGCCUUGGGCCACACACGUAAUACAAUGGCCGGUACAGAGGGCAGCUACACAGCGAUGUGAUGCAAAUCUCGAAAGCCGGUCUCAGUUCGGAUUGGAGUCUGCAACUCGACUCUAUGAAGCUGGAAUCGCU
Molecule: ribosomal RNA, 1203 nt
Filed under: Chryseobacterium sp.
Lineage: Bacteria; Pseudomonadati; Bacteroidota; Flavobacteriia; Flavobacteriales; Weeksellaceae
Description: bacterial SSU rRNA
Rfam family: Bacterial small subunit ribosomal RNA
Source: RNAcentral